This 461-nucleotide ribosomal RNA is filed under the name uncultured Desulfobulbus sp. RNAcentral describes it as "bacterial SSU rRNA". It matches the Rfam family "Bacterial small subunit ribosomal RNA", at positions 925 to 1382 of the family's 1533-position model. Lineage: Bacteria; Pseudomonadati; Thermodesulfobacteriota; Desulfobulbia; Desulfobulbales; Desulfobulbaceae. The record is from RNAcentral.
ACAAGCGGUGGAGUAUGUGGUUUAAUUCGAUGCAACGCGAAGAACCUUACCUGGUCUUGACAUCCCGGAGACCCUUCGGAACUAGGGGUGCUUCCAUCUGGAAGAAUCUGGAGACAGGUGCUGCAUGGCUGUCGUCAGCUCGUGUCGUGAGAUGUUGGGUUAAGUCCCGCAACGAGCGCAACCCUUGCCUUUAGUUGCCAGCAGUUCGGCUGGGCACUCUAAAGGGACUGCCGGUGUUAAACCGGAGGAAGGUGGGGAUGACGUCAAGUCCUCAUGGCCUUUAUGACCAGGGCUACACACGUACUACAAUGGCCGAUACAAAGGGCAGCGACACUGCGAGGUGAAGCCAAUCCCGUAAAAUCGGUCUCAGUCCGGAUUGGAGUCUGCAACUCGACUCCAUGAAGUUGGAAUCGCUAGUAAUCGUGGAUCAGCAUGCCACGGUGAAUACGUUCCCGGGCCUU